AAUUCAGACAAACUCCGAAUGCCAAUUAAUUUAACUUGGGAGUCAGAACAUGGGUGAUAAGGUCCGUGUUCGAAAGGGAAACAGCCCAGACCACCAGCUAAGGUCCCAAAAUAUAUGUUAAGUGGAAAAGGAUGUGGCGUUGCCCAGACAACUAGGAUGUUGGCUUAGAAGCAGCCAUCAUUUAAAGAGUGCGUAAUAGCUCACUAGUCGAGUGACACUGCGCCGAAAAUGUACCGGGGCUAAACAUAUUACCGAAGCUGUGGAUUGUCCUUUGGACAAUGGUAGGAGAGCGUUCUAAGGGCGUUGAAGCAUGAUCGUAAGGACAUGUGGAGCGCUUAGAAGUGAGAAUGCCGGUGUGAGUAGCGAAAGACGGGUGAGAAUCCCGUCCACCGAUUGACUAAGGUUUCCAGAGGAAGGCUCGUCCGCUCUGGGUUAGUCGGGUCCUAAGCUGAGGCCGACAGGCGUAGGCGAUGGAUAACAGGUUGAUAUUCCUGUACCACCUAUA
This 505-nucleotide ribosomal RNA is filed under the name Staphylococcus aureus. RNAcentral's name for it is "partial 23S ribosomal RNA". It matches the Rfam family "Bacterial large subunit ribosomal RNA", at positions 942 to 1452 of the family's 2925-position model. Lineage: Bacteria; Bacillati; Bacillota; Bacilli; Caryophanales; Staphylococcaceae. The record is from RNAcentral.